AUGGCAAGCACCAACAUGGCGUCGGCCACCUCCAGAUUCAUGCUGGCGGCGGGCAUCCCCAGCGGCACCAACGGCGGCGUGAGCAGCCGCGUCAGCUUCGUCCCCUCCAACCGACUGGGCUUGAAGCUCGUGGCCCGCGCCGAGGAGGAGCCCACUGCCGCCGCGCCGGCGGAACCAGCACCGGCCGCGGAGGAGAAACCGGACGCCGCCGUGGCCACCAAGGAGCCCGCCAAAGCCAAGCCGCCGCCGAGGGGACCCAAGAGGGGAACCAAGGUGAAGAUUCUGAGGAGGGAGUCCUACUGGUACAACGGGACCGGAUCCGUCGUCACGGUUGAUCAGGAUCCCAACACCCGUUACCCGGUGGUGGUGCGUUUCGCCAAGGUGAACUACGCCGGCGUGUCGACCAACAACUACGCCCUGGACGAGAUCAAGGAGGUUGCUGCUUAA
RNAcentral lists this ribosomal RNA (447 nucleotides) under Triticum aestivum (bread wheat). RNAcentral's name for it is "partial small subunit ribosomal RNA". The record is from RNAcentral. Lineage: Eukaryota; Viridiplantae; Streptophyta; Magnoliopsida; Poales; Poaceae.